RNAcentral lists this ribosomal RNA (498 nucleotides) under uncultured bacterium. RNAcentral's name for it is "partial 16S ribosomal RNA". It matches the Rfam family "Bacterial small subunit ribosomal RNA", at positions 28 to 507 of the family's 1533-position model. The record is from RNAcentral.
GACGAACGCUGGCGGCGUGCCUAAUACAUGCCAGUCGAACGAGAGCGCCCGGUGCUUGCACUGGUCAAUCUAGUGGCGAACGGGUGAGUAACACGUGGGUAACCUGCCCAUCAGAGGGGGAUAACAUCCGGAAACGGAUGCUAAAACCGCAUAGGUCUUCGAGCCGCAUGGCUUGAAGAGGAAAAGAGGCGCAAGCUUCUGCUGAUGGAUGGACCCGCGGCGCAUUAGCUAGUUGGUGAGGUAACGGCUCACCAAGGCCGUGAUGCAUAGCCGACCUGAGAGGGUGAUCGGCCACAUUGGGACUGAGACACGGCCCAAACUCCUACGGGAGGCAGCAGUAGGGAAUCUUCCGCAAUGGACGCAAGUCUGACGGAGCAACGCCGCGUGAGUGAAGAAGGUUUUCGGAUCGUAAAACUCUGUUGUUAGAGAAGAACAAGUGCUAGAGUAACUGUUAGCGCCUUGACGGUAUCUAACCAGAAAGCCACGGCUAACUACGUG